UACAGAGGGGGCAAGCGUUGUUCGGAAUUACUGGGCGUAAAGGGCGCGUAGGCGGCGUGGUAAGUCACUUGUGAAAUCUCUGAGCUUAACUCAGAACGGCCAAGUGAUACUGCUGUGCUAGAGUGCAGAAGGGGCAAUCGGAAUUCUUGGUGUAGCGGUGAAAUGCGUAGAUAUCAAGAGGAACACCUGAGGUGAAGACGGGUUGCUGGGCUGACACUGACGCUGAGGCGCGAAAGCCAGGGGAGCAAACGGG
This 253-nucleotide ribosomal RNA is filed under the name uncultured bacterium. RNAcentral's name for it is "partial 16S ribosomal RNA". It matches the Rfam family "Bacterial small subunit ribosomal RNA", at positions 524 to 776 of the family's 1533-position model. The record is from RNAcentral.